AUGCUGGAUUGGAGCUGGAGGUACAGGUGUAAGGUGUGGGUGCACACUCCCGUGGACGCGGACACCGACCACAUGGACGCCAAGGUGAGGAGUUGCGUCGUCCCGGCAUGGAGGCGGCCAUGGACGCGGGCGGCAGGACAGGUACCUGCCAGUGUUGUCCGACAUGCCGCCGUAGGAAUGAGGGAUCGUCCUCCGUCUCUGCAUCAACAAGCAGGUCAAGGCAAGGAGCCCCCGUUCCUGGGGUUGAUGAUUAGCUGGUCAGUUCCGGUUAUGUAUCUAAUCUACUACUCCCUCCGUAAAGAAAUGUAA
This 309-nucleotide ribosomal RNA is filed under the name Triticum aestivum (bread wheat). Its description in RNAcentral is "partial small subunit ribosomal RNA". The record is from RNAcentral. Lineage: Eukaryota; Viridiplantae; Streptophyta; Magnoliopsida; Poales; Poaceae.